CCCAAGGGAGACCAGUGGACAUGGUCUGUUUGCCUUUCUACCCUCCAGUGGCCAAAUAAAAGCAAGUGGUUCUACCUAAAAGAAAACUCCCUGUACCUAUCUAUUUACAGACUUAUUAACUGAAAUAGGCAUUUCCUGAGUCCCUUUACUUUACCUUCUCUGAGAAAAAAAGAUAGCUUCAAAGAGACUUAAUGGGUGAACUUGAGACCAGGAACUUCAAAGGAUUUCAACUGAAGGGAAACCCACUAUCUUUUGAGAAAGAAGCUGGAAGAAAAAAGAAGAGCAUUAUGAGAAGCAAAAAGAGAGCAAAUAACAUGUUGUCAAGGAAGUCAAGGGAGAAUGGUUUAAGAAGGAAAGGGUGCAAGGUCAUUUCUGUGGCUUGAACUCCUGGUCCCACAAGAAUCACCUUUAAGCACCUGAAACUGAAGAGGAUAAAACAACACAGAAGAGAAAUACCAACAACAGAAACAAGAAGAAACAGGUAUCAACAUUGCUAAUUAUUACUUGAAAAUUGUCCAGAAUUGUUCAGUCAGUUCAGAAGAUUGACAAGCUAGAGACUGCAGUCGGGCAGAAUGAAGGAUUCAGAGGAGUAGAACCAAGAUUCAGAGAGAGCUGGAGGCUGAAGCUAGCAACAAGAACUCUCGGAACCAAAGAAAGCUAACUGGGCUAUUUUAGAUGAGAC
This is a long non-coding RNA of Sarcophilus harrisii (Tasmanian devil), 682 nucleotides long. Lineage: Eukaryota; Metazoa; Chordata; Mammalia; Dasyuromorphia; Dasyuridae. The record is from Ensembl.